CUCCAGUUGGAUGCAUGUCCUUCUGGGAAAGAUUCAUCGGUAUGGGAUGGGGUCGCGUCCUAUCAGCUUGAUGGCGGGGUAACGGCCCACCAUGGCUUCGACGGGUAGCCGGCCUGAGAGGGCGACCGGCCACAUUGGGACUGAGAUACGGCCCAGACUCCUACGGGAGGCAGCAGUGGGGAAUAUUGCACAAUGGGCGCAAGCCUGAUGCAGCGACGCCGCGUGCGGGAUGACGGCCUUCGGGUUGUAAACCGCUUUUGACUGGGAGCAAGCCCUUCGGGGUGAGUGUACCUUUCGAAUAAGCACCGGCUAACUACGUGCCAGCAGCCGCGGUAAUACGUAGGGUGCAAGCGUUAUCCGGAAUUAUUGGGCGUAAAGGGCUCGUAGGCGGUUCGUCGCGUCCGGUGUGAAAGUCCAUCGCUUAACGGUGGAUCCGCGCCGGGUACGGGC
This 450-nucleotide ribosomal RNA is filed under the name uncultured Bifidobacterium sp. Its description in RNAcentral is "bacterial SSU rRNA". It matches the Rfam family "Bacterial small subunit ribosomal RNA", at positions 173 to 637 of the family's 1533-position model. Lineage: Bacteria; Bacillati; Actinomycetota; Actinomycetes; Bifidobacteriales; Bifidobacteriaceae. The record is from RNAcentral.